GAUGAACGCUGGCGGCGUGCCUAAUACAUGCAAGUCGAGCGAACGGACGAGAAGCUUGCUUUUCUGAUGUUAGCGGCGGACGGGUGAGUAACACGUGGAUAACCUACCUAUAAGACUGGGAUAACUUCGGGAAACCGGAGCUAAUACCGGAUAAUAUUUUGAACCGCAUGGUUCAAAAGUGAAAGACGGUCUUGCUGUCACUUAUAGAUGGAUCCGCGCUGCAUUAGCUAGUUGGUAAGGUAACGGCUUACCAAGGCAACGAUGUAUAGCCGACCUGAGAGGGUGAUCGGCCACACUGGAACUGAGACACGGUCCAGACUCCUACGGGAGGCAGCAGUAGGGAAUCUUCCGCAAUGGGCGAAAGCCUGACGGAGCAACGCCGCGUGAGUGACGAAGGUCUUCGGAUCGUAAAACUCUGUUAUUAGGGAAGAACAUAUGUGUAAGUAACUGUGCACAUCUUGACGGUACCUAAUCAGAAAGCCACGGCUAACUACGUG
Molecule: ribosomal RNA, 497 nt
Filed under: uncultured bacterium
Lineage: Bacteria
Description: partial 16S ribosomal RNA
Rfam family: Bacterial small subunit ribosomal RNA
Source: RNAcentral